CAGUCGCCGCGGGAAUACGAAGGGGGCUAGCGUUGUUCGGAAUUACUGGGCGUAAAGCGCACGUAGGCGGACAUUUAAGUCAGGGGUGAAAUCCCGGGGCUCAACCCCGGAACUGCCUUUGAUACUGGGUGUCUAGAGUAUGGAAGAGGUGAGUGGAAUUCCGAGUGUAGAGGUGAAAUUCGUAGAUAUUCGGAGGAACACCAGUGGCGAAGGCGGCUCACUGGUCCAUUACUGACGCUGAGGUGCGAAAGCGUGGGGAGCAAACAGGAUUAGAUACCCCAGUAGUCCCUGUCUCUUAUAC
RNAcentral lists this ribosomal RNA (301 nucleotides) under uncultured bacterium. RNAcentral's name for it is "partial 16S ribosomal RNA". It matches the Rfam family "Bacterial small subunit ribosomal RNA", at positions 509 to 807 of the family's 1533-position model. The record is from RNAcentral.